AAAGAUUCUAAUCAAUUUUCUUUGAAAAAUUCAGCACAGAUAAAUUCCUAGCAAACACUUUGUUUCUGUAGAAUUAACAUUUUCUGGUGAAAAACUGCCCAAUUUCUGUGAUCAGCUCUGAUUUGUUUUCUUCAGUCAUCAACUCCCGGCAACAAAAAGUUUUUUACACUUGAAAUUUAUCACUUGAUCUCCUGAUGGGAGAAUCUGAGGGAAGAUCGAGGGCAAAGGAACAAGCCUGUAGAUUUCUACCUACACUUCUCCCUGGGGACAACUGAACUUCAAGACACCAGAAGUGACACAUCCUCAGGAUCUUUCAGGACUAUGUCCACAUUUCCUCAGGAAUCCUUUAAGAGGGCAGCUGGCAUCAGCCAGCUCAGUUCCUGUGGUCAGCGAGCUGGUUCGGGAGUCCGUGCGUUGCAGAAUUGUAAUGAGCAGCGUCACCUUGUUGCCCUCUUCUGAUGGAAAGGCUGCUUCAUCCCUGUCUCAGUGACAUCUAGGAGAAACACCCCCACGUGCAGCUUCACACAGGACAGCUGUGGCUCCCCAGAGCCCCCUUUGCCCGCUGUGCUCUUUUCCGGGAGAGGCUGAGAGAGAGCGGUCUUAGACUUGGAAGAAGGUAAUUUGAAUUGGAUGUGAAGUUGUUACUAAUAUAAUGUU
Molecule: long non-coding RNA, 657 nt
Filed under: Struthio camelus australis
Lineage: Eukaryota; Metazoa; Chordata; Aves; Struthioniformes; Struthionidae
Description: lncRNA (ENSSCUG00000004010.1)
Source: RNAcentral